RNAcentral lists this ribosomal RNA (116 nucleotides) under Brentidae sp. CH-2014. RNAcentral describes it as "partial 16S ribosomal RNA". Lineage: Eukaryota; Metazoa; Arthropoda; Insecta; Coleoptera; Brentidae. The record is from RNAcentral.
AAAAUUUUAAAGGUCGAACAGACCUAUAAUCUUAACUUCUACACCAAGAUAAAAUUUUAAUCCAACAUCGAGGUCGCAAACUUUCUUUUCGAUUUGAACUCUAAAAAAAAAUAACG